UCACACACGCCUUUUCUGAUGGAAAUAUUUGUGACCUAGCAGUGUAUCGCAAAUGGUUGGCUAGGACGGCAUCGGGUGUGGUGGUUCAUUGACCUCACACGAUCUUCUUGUAGCAAAAUGUUUGUAUUGUUAGUGGUCAUCACCCAUGGUACUUUAUUAUGUAACCAUGUGCAAUGCAAUGACCCAAUUAGCGGGUUAAUAGCCUUAUAUUGUUAAUCCCUAAAAUAAGAAAAAUAAAUUUGUAUCGAACAAAUGUUUACCAUAAUUUCGUAUCCGACAAUAUGUUUCAUAGUCAUCUAAUGGCCAUAAGCAUGUUAUAAUUGGCAUCACAGUACCCCAGAUAGCUAGUUCAUCACAGCACAACACACCAUUCAGCUAGUUCACCACACCACAGUACAUAUGCAUUAAUUUUCACAUGUAACAUGUAAAAUCUUUGAAAACUAGCAUCACAAAUGGUAAAUAGACAGAUGAAUCUCAUCAGAAAAACUACCGAAGCGAAAGGUGAAUAUUAAGCCUUCGACGAUGUUGCGGAUGAUAUUGCCUUGGUAUUGAUGAACUACAACCUCCUUGCAUGGAGCUUGCUUGGUCAUUCUGGUGUAGCCGUGUAGGAGUAAUAGAGUAGAAGGGUUCAUCGAUCGAACACAGCCUGUUGAUGAAUAAAUGGGUUGCGUUCUGUACAUACAUGCAUAAAUACACCUCUUUUUCUGGUCUUGCUUUUCUUCCUCAUCAUCUUCCUGCUN
Molecule: long non-coding RNA, 740 nt
Filed under: Hordeum vulgare
Lineage: Eukaryota; Viridiplantae; Streptophyta; Magnoliopsida; Poales; Poaceae
Description: long non-coding RNA (HVUL_LNC020618)
Source: RNAcentral